UUUAUAAGUACUGCUCUUACUAGACUAGUCUAGCUUCUGUACUCUGCGUAUGUGCAAUUGUAAAGAAAUCAAAUAUUACAGCUGGAAAAUGUGAGAUCAGCCUUGUCAGUGCCCCAGCCUCCUAUUUACCAUGAAAACAAACACAGCUCUCUUCUCAUGUCUGCCAGCAGGAAGGGGGUGGGGAGGCAGGGGAAAGUUUUUUUUGCCUUCGAAAAGGAAGAAGGUCAACUAUUUUGGGAAACUAAAACCACUCAGCAAGUAGAAGAAUUCUUUUCUCUCUGCUCAGUGAUUAGAGAAGUCUGCAGGCAAGCAGUAAUUGCUGCAAAUAGUAGAGCCGUGCAGAUGGACAUGAGGUAAAUGCAUCUUUUGGCCUUUGCAGAAACAUGUCUUUGCAGAAGAUGAAGUGGAUAACACAAUGUAUUUUCCUGCACCAACAGUUAAACUGUAAUAAAGAGUCUGUAAAGCUCUGCGCUGGAUAAGUCUGUUCUUCAGGUACAGUUAGUCAGAUGAUGAGCUGAAGGCAGGGAAUGCAUGACUGAUUUCCACCCGCUGCUUCUGAUGUCUCUGUGGGACUUGCUGUGUUUCUUACGGCUGCAUCCACCUAGGACAGAUAAAGAAAUAGAUAUGACUCACAAAUUCUUAAGAUGCAAACCAGUGAAAAAUCAUAAUUCAAACCGUAAAAAAUAAAAAUAAAAUUAAAAAAAAAUACAAACCUGGAAGAAGCCUCAGACUACCUGGUUAAUGCAGCUUUGUUGUGGGGUCUUUGGGCUGGCCCUGCAUCUCCUGCCAGGAGUUCAGGUGUCUCUGCAUUCUUCUGGCAAAGGAGCCUCAAAGGAGUCCGUACAGAAAAAUAUAGACAUGUUCAUCAUGACUUUCUUUCAUGUGUUUGUGAGAACCCUUGCUUUCUUUAGGUUUCACCUCAUGCCAUUCAAUAGUUAGAAGACUCCAGUAUGCGGUAGGAUCUGAAAAGUAUGUUUUUGAAAUGACCUAUUGAAGUAAUCUGGUUUUCUGUUCUGCUAGUGUUUUUCAUGCAAUGAAGAUUCCCUUGUAUUUUUAAAGACAAUAUUCCAAAGCCUGAUACUUCAAGAAUUUUUUUUCCUCAAUAGAUGUAUUACUUUUGUGUCUACAGUUAUAAUGUUACCUCCAUUCUUGGUGUUUACAUUGCAAAUACUACCAGACUGCUGUUUGAAGUCCUUUCUAUGAGAGCUCUUAGAUGUGCUAUAAAUGUGUUUAUACAGAAAAUUAAAUAUAAAUCUAUUACAAGGCAUUGCUCAGCUUGGAAAAUUCCCUGUUUUUCAUCACGUGGUUCUGGUAAUCUCAUACUCAACUGACUGUAAUAUUCCAUGUAGGAUCAUAUGGGAACUGCAUAAAUUUGAACUGUUAAAAUGUCCAAUUUGCACUCAGAAUGAAGAUGAACGUGCAACGCGAAGUUGUACUGAUCUCUGCAGCUGUGUUGCAAGCUGUUGUAUAAUUGGCUGUCUGCAAUCAUUCCUAGGUGUCCUUUGUUCUUCAUUCCUUGAGUUUUUUCAUUUGAUUUUGGACAUACAUGGGGAUGUUUUCUUCCAGAUGGAUUCAGCUGCUGAUGUAGUCUUCUAGUGGCCAUGCCUCUCUUGUGCUCAGCAGUAUCUGUGGAAAGCAUAAGUUUCCACUUCUCCCACACCCUUUUGGAAGAAUACAGAACUAAUUUGGUUGUCUUUCUGCCCGUACUUUUUAGGGAGGACUUAGACAAAAUCCCUAGGAAAGAAUCAUACUGUUCUGUGUAUCUAUCUUGUGAUUGCCAGGAGUGGGUGCCUCAGCGUAGACACAUCCAGGAAGGCACCAUGAGUCCACAACACCAGUAGGAAGGUCGUAGCCUUUUCUUUGUCUCAGCUGGAGCUCCUCCUUCAGCAUUUGAAAUUUUCUCAGCCCCUAGAGCAACUACUUCCUUUCUCCAUCCUGAAGAUAAAAUAAUUCCUACUCAAAAUGUACUCUAAUUGAGAUUUAUGUUGCCCUCUCCGUUUGCCUGCAAUACUGUGUUCACUGGCUUUACAGGUGAUGAGUGCUACAUUUGGAGAGGAGCACAGUGAGGAAUUGCCAGCAAGAGUCUGAAAGAUCCUUCCCUCAUGUUGGAUGUGAACAGCCUUCUCAGGCCAUGUCCACCUUUUCUUCACAAAAUUCCCAUCAUUAUUAUCAUCAUGGUGUUAAGUUCUUUGGCUACUGAUGACUUUCUUACAGUGUUUCCAACCUCUGCAGAAUGGCUCUGUGAUGAGACUGCUGCUAGGCAGGAGUACUGCUAGAAGGUCUUGGAGCACAUCCAGGCAAAAAGCUGUAGCUUGGGAUGACAAGGUCUAUGAACCAUACUUGAAUCUGUGAACUACGUUUGAUUUCUGUAGGCACAGGUCCAACAUCAGUAUAUCUUCAUGCUGUUUUGAUCUGAACAAAUUCGAAAGCAUUUUAAAAAGAGAUAUCCUUGCUUCAAGCAUCUGUGUUGAAGUCCGCUGAAAGAAAUGGAAAUCCCUUGACUGACUGUCAUGGACCAAAACUCCCAAAGGAAGAAAUAAGCACCACAUAUCUCAAGAGUACUUUGAUGUUCCAAGCUUUGCAGUUCAUCCUCUGGACUAAAGAUGCUUGAAGCAGUUUGGCUAAGGGUAAGGUAUGAUCAUCCAGGAUGAACAAAAGAUUCUAGAUGUGACUCAGAGACUCACCAUGGAGAGGACUUGGGUCACUUCAGUGGAAGGCAAGUGAAGUCUAGACAUCUGUGUGCACUUUGUGACCUGAGGAUCCUUGUAUUUUCACCUCAUUGUUUGCAGGUGUAUUCACAGAAUAGUGGGCAAAGGGAUUUAUGCUUAUCAACAGCAUAUGCACUGGAGGCAGUGAAAUCAUCCACUGUGUAGGUGCAUAUGAAGUAAAGCUUUUCUAGUGGUCUGACACACCAUACCAUGCUCUCACCAUAGCCAAAUUUUAAUAGAUCAAGGAAUAUGCAGAAACCAAAGAGUAGUAUCAUUGUUGCACUAUGAUUUGUUGUUGUUCAAGAUUUGUGUGACCUAUUCACAGCUCUUUCUAUAGUGGAAAAAAGACCAGUAUAAAACACACAAGGCUUGAGUUUCAUGCUUUUCUGACGCUGUGGCUGCUGGCUGGAUUUGGAAUAUGCAUCUCAGUUAAUAUAGGCCUAUCCUGGCCUAAGUUAACAGUCCUUUUGUCUAAAUAUUUAAUAUUUUAUUUCAUUUAAAGAGAGAGUUGCUUAAAAUGAUCCAGCAUGGCUGAAAGCUUUAAAUAGAAGUACACUUAAAAUGCAUGUUAUGUGGUUCAUAUACUGUUGAGAGAGGGAAGAACAUGAAGUGGGGCUUCAAGCAGUGAAUUUCACUGUGUUUUGAUGCUGUAUGGGUUGAGUGCGUGUCAUGAACUGAAGUCUGUUGUAGCCUUUUUUUAUGUAGAUUUUUCCUUUUCUGCUUUUGAUGAACCUUUUGAAAUUGUCUCCUGUUAAUUAUUAUUUUUUUUUUUUUUCAGAAGCGUGCAUAUGUGAAAUUUUGCUGUUUAAUAUGUCACCUAGAUGCUCUCUCAUUGUCUGCUGAAAUCAGUAGAAAGACUCUCAUUUCAUCAGUAUUUUGAAAAAUUGUUUGCAGUUCUUGCAUUUUUCUGAUUGCUGCAUUAUUUCUUUUAUACAAGUUUUUAGAAUAUAGCAGGAAACAGUGGUACCUAUGCUGGCCUAAAUUUAGUCAAUCACACACAGUGUAAAUUGCUGCCCACAUAAAAAUACACCAGAUAGACACAGCCCUUGGCUUCAUCACAGUGGGAUGCGGCACAGGAACGCAGUGCUUUAACAGUGCAUGAUGAAAACACCAAAAAGAUAGUAAUCUUUUAUUCUAUUUAAAGUAUAACAAGUAGCACUUCUGUUGGAGGAACUGAGAAGUAAUUACCAACAUACCACCUUUUCCUCAGAGUGACCAGAUUAAUAGCAGGUUACGGGGGCCCAGAGUCAGGGAAUUUAAGCCUUGUUAUGAUUUACAGUUUCUCUCUGUGUCCUAUAAUAUGCUUUCCCAUUAGCUAAAAGUGCCAUUUCAGGAAAUUGCCUUCGAGGGUGUUUUGAUGUAGGGUGAGGGUAAGAAAAGAAAGCAGUUUCCCUAUUCCACUACAGCUGUAGACAGGUACUUAGUAAGAAGCAGGUAUGUGAUUUUUCUUAUCUGUCCACUCCUUGUCACUUAUCAUUCAGUAGGAAGACAUCUUCAGGAAUCUCACUCAGGUUACUGCAUCUCGCCCUUUCACAGAUUGUCAGGGUGAAAACAGUGAAGAGAUGCCAAUAGAUCACAUGGUUACACUUUUCUAGUUUUGCUAGUUCCUAAAUUUUGUUAGGGACCGGAAUAUUAGCCUUAUUAAUAUUGGUUAAUUAUAGCUGAAUGGGAAGACAUUUGCAUCUUAUCCUCAGGACUGGUAGUAGUCCUAAGAUUGGUUUCCUUUUGUGCCAUUACAAUUCCUGACAGGACAACUCCUCCUGCUCUGGAAUGGACCAAUUGACAGUCCUGAAGGCCAUGUGUAACAUUAACAUUUCUUUAAGACCUCAGUAGCUUUGAUUUGUCAUUUGAGAAAUUUACUGUCUACUGUUUCAUGUUUAUUGAAUUUAGAAAAUCAUACAUGUCCAAUAACAAAGUCCCACAGGUGGACAUGUUUGGUCUCAGACUCUAGCCUCAAGUAUACUCUCUUUUUGUUUGGUUUUAAUCUUUUCCUGCUCCUGCAAAUUCAGGAAGAAAAUAUUAUAUUUUUUACACAAAGUGCUUUUAAUCCUAAAUGAAUGACAUUAUUGAGAGAAAGAAAGAAAUCUUGCAAAUGAAGCUCUGGAUAAAUUUGCAAGGGGAAAACACCAUAAAUAUCUAAUUACUUGUAGAGACAUCAUAAAGUAACACCAGAAGUGAAAGGCCAGCAAAGGCCUCAUAUGCUAUGUAUGAAAGCCAAGAUUUUUUAAAUUUUUUUCACUUGAGCUACUUGAUGUAAAUCUGGAAUAACUCAAUUUAAAAUGAGAUGACUGGAGAGAAAAUUUAUCCCUAAACAACUGGUGAAAUUCUGCUUUCCAGCUUUUUAGUGUACUUUCAAAAGUGAAGAUGCUCUCCAAGCAAUAAGUUUUGUACAAAGUCUGUGAACAGGAAACUUCAGUAAUGUUCUCAAUCAAAUAGAAUUGACUCCUGGAAAAACUGAUAUACAAAUUGAUUUUUAUUCUCACGUGACUCAUUACAAACAGUUAAUUUCCCCCCCCCCAUUAAUGCAGACAAACCCCACAAAGAGGGACUAUAGUGACUGUUGCUAGGAUUAGUGGGGGUUUUUGGAUUUUUUUUUUACUGUGUUUUUUUUUUUUCUUUUUUUUUUUUUUUAAUUUGUAUGUACAGAGUUCAUGCAAGAUUUUUUUGUUUUGGUAUAAUGUACAUUUGUAUUUUAUUUUGCAUAAAGUCUAACAAUUCAACAUCUUUAUUUUUAAGGGUAAUUCUAUUUGAUUCUUACGUCUGAAUGCAUCCUGGUUUUCCACACGACUUGACUUCAGAUAAAAAGUAGAUCAUUUGGUUUAGUAGUAGAUCUGGUCAGAGAUGAUGUGCCACAUUUUUAACUGGAUUUUAAUUUGACAGAUGUGUGCUUAGCCUGUAUCAUCUGACUGAUGCACGAAACAUUUCUUUCUCCAAAGACACCACAGAUCUUCUGCACCUUUUCCAUCUCAUUUAUGCACAUGUACAGAUAGUGCUGGCUAUUCAAAAUGAUAUCAAUAUGAAAAUGAUGACAACAGAUUUUUUUAUAAUCAGAAUGGGGCAUGACUGGAGCAAAUCAAGAAUGCUUCAAAUACUGUGUGCCAGACCUCCUUGACAAGAGCAGGUGGUUGAAGAGUCAACAACACGACAUAAGUGCUUUGAGUGUGAUCCGAAUGAGCAUAAUUGAUUCACUACCACAUGAUAUCCAUAUACUUUGUGGGGGCCUUUAUUCAAACAAAUGCUGCAUUGAGACAUAAAUCAGCAUAGAGGGAUGGUUCUACUAGUGCUGAUCAAUGAGAUACAACACUUACGUGUGAGAUGCAUGGUUCUGUACUUACUCAAGACAUCUUGCAGGUGCUGCCCUCUUUAACAGUGAAUAUUUGAAGAAUACAUUUUGAUGAAAAUGAAUUCAAAAGCACUUUUGAUUUUUGCAUUAAAUUAAUUUGCACAGUAUUUCAUCCUGCUACUUGAUUGUGAGUUGCAUGCUCAAUGACAAAAUCACCAAAAUGUAUCAGAAAAAAAUUGUGCAAUGAAAGUCCUAAACAUUCAUAAGCAACUAGAACUCAGCACAGAGAGAGGAAACAGCUAAUUAUUUGCCAAGAGCAAAUUAUGACAAAGCAACCAACUUCCUGCUAUGAUGAGGCAAUGAGUCCACAGACACAGGGGACACACAAAGUGUCCUGCCUCUAUGUUACUUAAGCUUUGGCAUUCUCUUGAAUUAUAUUCUUAUUGGAAAGCUAAGGAAAUGUAGCCUUGAGGGUAAAUGCAAAGCUGAAUGAAAAGUGAAACUUGGAGCAUAAUUCUCUAAUUUUAAUGUUUAAUUGAAAUAUACUGUCAAGUUUCUACGGGGACUUGUCCUUGAUCAAAUAUUGUUAAGUAUUCUCAUGAAUUAUCUGAAUGAGGGAAUAAUAUUAUAUGCAGUAAAUUUGCAUAUGACAAGAGAUGAGGGAUUCUGAACAUGUGGAAAGCAGAAUUAGAAUCCCAGAUGAUCUUCACAAAUUGGAGAGAUCAUCUGAAAAAAUUGGAUUAAGUUCAAUAGGGACAAAUGCAAAGUGCUAGACAGAAAUAAUCAAUUGCACAAAUACAGGAUGGGGUAACACAAUAGACAGCAGUUCUUUGGAAAAGAUCCGUGAACGAACGUGGAUCAAAUGAAGCAUGAGCUGAUGAAUUAUUAAAGAGCUAAGUGACCAGCUAGUAUGUAUAUGAAAACCAGAAUGCAGUCUGCAAAAGUAAUCUUCUAGUACUUUGUAUUGGUAAGGACUCUUAAGAACUGUAGCCAAGGAAAACUUAAAAAAAAUGGGUUAUUAAACACUCUAAAAGAAGACGGAAGGGCCAGGGCAAUAAUUAAGAUGUAAAAAAACCCACUGUUGUAAAGAGGAAGGGAGUAAUAGGUCUUUUUUUUAUUAAUGGUAGACAUAAUAAGAAAUAAAAAGCAAAAUUACACCGGGAAGAUUCAGAACAGUUAUUAGGAAAAUCUUUCUAAACAUGAACAUAACAAAGUCUGGGAACAUGAUGAAGUCACCAUCAUUAAGAACAGACAUCUCUUACAAGUGACACGAAUAUUGAUUCUGCUUUGAGGACAAAAAGCCCUUUCCAGCUCUAUUUCGUAUAAUUUUAUAUCAAGACAGGAACAGGGUUUGCCACUCUGUGUAUCUCAAAUAGUACCUAAUUCCCUGAGAUUUAUUCACUCACAGGAAAAAUUCUUAGUCAACAAGAGCAAUAUUUACCCACGUACAAGAACUAGAUUUGUUGAAGUUAUUGCUUAACAUUCUUGCCACAUGAAUUCUUUUGUUAAAUUUAUAUUGGCUUAUACCUGGAAUUACUUUAAGAUCGGUAUUUCAGGUUAGUACAAGUAUAAUAAAAUAAAUUCUGAAGUGAUUUUAUCUGCUUAGGGAAUAAAGGUGAGUAUUCAGUAAAAUUAAAUCUUGCUCAGUGGCCCAUGCAAAGUUUUGGGAAAAGGAAGGUGACAGACUCACACCACAUUUAGCUAUGUUUCUGCUGUUUGAGGCUGCAGCUGUCUCAGGAGACCAUGGCAAUAAGAGAUCCACGCAGAGCACUCUAUACUAUGGUACUGUGUACUGUGCCCAUGAUGCGAACCUCAACAUCGCUUCCAGACGGACGGGAGGAAUUAAUUGCAUAAAGCCAGUGCACUGACUUUUUAUCACCUGGGCUUUGUCUUCAGCUAUUUCUCCAGGGCAUCCUUUGCGCAAGGCAAAUGGGGUGACCAAGGGGCUGAGGGAUGAACUCCAUCAAUUUCAUUCCUGUGUCUAUGCAAAGCUCUCUCUUUAGAUAGGAACUUCAUGUUCCAAAGUGUUACCUGAGCACUGCUCUCAGUCUGUCAUUUAUUUUGGAUGAUAAUGAAAUGCUUAAAGGAUGUAGCGAUACAUAAAUAUUUGCCCUGUUCAAAAACAUAUACAUAUAUAUAUAUAUUUCUGAAUAUUUAGGGAAGUUAGUGAAAUUCUUCAUACCUUUCUGCUCCUUGAAGCCUAGAGUAACUCUUUUUUUUAUGGUGCUUCCUUCCAGCUUUUUGUACGACAUGGUACCAAAUUACUGUAGCAGAGAUUGGGAAACCUCUGUUUAGCAGGUCUGGUUUAUGGUUAUGUUAAAAAUAGAGGUGAAAUGUGUAACUCAUUUCAAGAACAAUUUCUUUGCUGAGAUCACAGGAUCAUUUAAAGCUGUCCAAACACUUAGCGUGUAUGUCCAGAUAGUCUGGAUUUAUUAUUAAUUUUUUUCAGGAAAUUUGGAAGUGGGACAGCUUACUCACUGUAGAUGAUUCAUAUAUUUAUGUCCUAGUUUGAAGUGGUUCACCACACCGUGGUCACAACUCCAGAAGUGUCAGAUGAUCAUCAGACAUCACUCCUGCCUAGCAAAGAAAUGCAAAUUUCCUCACCAUCAAGAAAGCUGGGCGGGGUAGUACUGAAGGGAUUAUUUCAUCGACUCCUGAAAUGCAAAACCUUCUGUGGCAGGAGAGAAAAGGCAGCCUUGUGACUGUGGCUCUGACCUGAAGUGUGACACUGGCUCUCUCCAAGUGUGAUUUCAUUCAGGUAGUGAGAGCAAGAGCUCCAUUAAAAAAAAAACAAAAAACAAAAGGAUUUGCCUUAAGCAGACAGGUAACCAAACCACCUUAUCAUUAGUAGGACUUCAGUUGCUUCCUCCCCUUCCACAAUCCCAGGCAGUGUGGCAGCCUGAUCUGUGAGUUACCGAUGCAGUUGUGACAGGGAGCAUGUGCGGUCAGAAGACAGUGGGGAGGCAAUGGCAUGGGGGAUGAAGAUGGAGAGCUACUGCCUGCUGUGAUCCGUGCGCGGAGGAAGAGCAAGACUGGACAGCAUGCUUCCUCUGGCCUUGUCACCUGCCCCCUUGCUUUUGUCACCUCAAGCAGUCUGGCACAUGGGCAGAGAAGCAACUUGAUGUGUCUGCAUGACCACACAACUUUGACCCUUCUUCAGUUCCUUCGCGCAGCGCGUAGAAGAAACCUCUUGGCUUGGGUCAUUUUAUGACCUAGUGAAAAGCAACACGUAAUUUUAUUUGAAAUAUCCAUGAACUUUAAUGAACUAAUUUCUGUCGAAAUAUCAACAACAUGUUGAACUUUCUUAGUUGCCCUUGUUUCAACAAGCAUCUCCUUAUUUUUACAUACUGGGUUAAACUCAGGCUUCAUCAAACAUGACUAGUAAAUCAAUUAUUUUAAACACCGGAGAGCUGCUUCACUUUCAACAAGUGUUUCCCAUGCUGAUGAACUCCUGCAAGCUCCACGGCUAUUGACCUGGGCUGGGAAGCCUUGUUCUAACUGAUAAUGUUGCUUAUUGUGAGAAUACUGCCUACGCAAUUCCUACUGCUUGGUGUGCAGAUUUGCAUUCCAAUACAUGGAGCGCUCCGUAAGGGUGCAUAGGGCUGGUAUGCUGGCUCUCCAAGCACAAUGGGAAUUAAGGAUAUGUGUCUCUGGGCCAACAAUUAUUUCCAUGUGCUUGGUAAAUCAGUGCAGGGAGGUAAGGCUUUCUUCUUGUUUAGUCUCUAUCACUGUCUUUGGUGCUAUAUUGCAUUUUAAUAUAAAACUCCCCCACCACCUCUAGCUCAACUGAGCCCUACGAGUUAUUUGCCUGGCUUUCAUUAAAACACUAGUGCAUGAAGAGCUGUAAGUUCACAGGGCUGGAGGGCAUCUCUGCUGAAGCUGGAAUUUUUGGUAAAUAGCUUGCUGCACUUUUGGAAGUGUUAAAAGUAAGCACCUAAUGAAUGAGUAUGUAAACAAUAGAGUUAGUUAAAUUACUCCCACUAUUCUUUUUUGCUAGUAGAAGUAAAUAGUAAAUGUUUUUUUCAGCCACUAUAUAUUGUUGGCAGCUCAGACUCCCUAUCAUACACGUGUAAGUUCAGAGGGUUAAAGAAUAUCAUAUUAGUGUGCAGUGCCCUGUCUAGCUACCAAAAGCAAUAGGUCUGUAGGCAGACUUAGGCUUUUCCUUCUGUCAGAAUAGACUGGGCUACAAAAAUAACAGUAUCAGAGCAACAGCUGGCUUAGUCACAUAAUGCUCUGCUAUAUAGUCUACCUUUCUUGUUUUCAUUUCGCUUUCCCUUUGUUUUAAAGACAAAAAAGGAAGCCCUUGGGGGAAAAGAUUUCCAAGUUUAUUGCUUGGCCAAAGUUAGUUGACUCCGACAUCAGCAACCUUUAUUAACUGGAGUUUCAACAUUUCUUUCAUGGAAUGUAACACUGACACUGGUACCUCUGUUCAGCCACAGGACCAGAACCAAACAGGCCCUGGUGCAGGGCUUUCUGAUGGUGCUUUUCCAAAUGCUGCAGUGUCAUCUGCCAUGGACUGUCCCUAGGGUUAAUAUAUAAAUCACUCCGUUCAGUCAUAAACAUGCCAUAGACUCUGCCCUUAGAGUGCCCAGUUAGGUAUUGCUCUGCACUGUGUGGCUUCUGUUUUAGAAAAUGAUUUGAGAUCACCGAACUGUUCUUCACAUGGGAGCAACAAGCAUUUGCCAGUGCCAGCUCUACUCUGAUUUUAAAUCUGUGACCUGAAUCGGGGACUGAUGGACAGGAAAGGGGGAGAGCUGGACCACGCCAUGGCAGCUCCUCUGCCCGGUGACAGGUACUCCUACUUAUCCCCCUCCUGCCACACUGGACUGUGUUGGUUGAGGGCAGCGGUUAUUGGGCCAGCUGCACCUUCCAUCUCAUUCCAGUGCACUGUGCUGGAAAAGAAACAGCCUUUUUUAACAAUGAGGGUGGCAAAACACUGGAGCAGGUUGCCCAGAGAGGUGGUAGAUGCCCCAUCCAUGGAGAUAUUCCAGGCCAGGCUGGAUGAGGCUCCGAGCAACCUGAUCUAGCUGAAGAUGUCCCUGCUCAUGGCAGGGGGGUUGGACUAGAUGACCUUUGAAUGUCUCUUCCAACCCAAACCAUCCUAUGAUUCUAUGAUCUCCUGAUCAGCCACAUCAACACAUGGAUCAAGAUAAAGUUGUAGUGAAGAAAAUACUGCCUGCACAUACAGAGCAACUGAAAAAAUUAUUACUGAAAAGGACACUUUUUAAUUAAUGAUGCUGGCCCCAAAUUAGACUCUAUUGCUUUUUGCUAUUAAUAAAAGGGCCAUUUCUAUUGCUUCCAUCCUUUGAUGGAAGAGCACAUAAAAAGAUCACAUAAAAGUAGAAUGAAAUGAAAUGAAAUGAAAUGAAAUGAAAUGAAAUGAAAUGAAAUGAAAAAUAACACUAGAAAAUUUAUCCAAGGAGCCUAUAAUACUGUAUAUUGGUGAUAGAUGACUAAAUAUUUUUAAGUCUUCAUAGUAUUAUGCUGCUCAGCACAGUGUGGUACACUGUCUUCUUUCUUUAACUUUUUAUGCUGAGCUAUAAGAACAGCUGUCUGGGUUCCUAAAGCAGCAAGUUAAACAUUUUGUCUGUAAGGUCACUUUUGUUAUCACAUAUGGUGUUGCAAGGAAAUUUCCAACUUAGUUUCAAAAUAGCUUUGGGACAACAUAAGAUUCAAGCCAAGAAAGCCUCCUCCUCCUUUUCCCAGUUUCUGUCAACAGCUGAUCAAGGGUCGGCAACCUAAACCCAGCUCUUGUGUAGCUGGCUAGCUCAUUUUUUUAUUUCUCGAAGGACAAAAGUAGAAUUCACUGUUAAGAUAAUUGCCUUCCUUUUCUGCAGUGAUUGAGGUCUAGAAACCAUCUUCUUAGGUGCAUCAUGUAAUCUGGAUUUUUUCUUUCUAUACUUUCUAUACUUGUUUUAGGCAUGCAGCAUAUAUUUCAGUUAAAACAAGCACUGCUCCCAACAUGUCUGGCUUGUUCUUUUGACACAGUUUCUUGAACAGGAUUUUACUUGCCCAUUAGCUGUCAAAGGUUUGGAGGACAGAUGAAUAUUCAUUUGGAUAAGCUGUACUGUGUUAGAUACUUCAAGUGAAGCUCACCUUUUGUAAUAACCAGUUUGUGUUUUUUUCAUAUUAUAUCUAAUGUGUUUGCUAUAAAUUUGUCCUUAUAAGUUUUUUGUAUGCCUGCAUCUGUGUCAAAAAUAGAAAUGGGAAUAUAAAUUGUG
This is a long non-coding RNA of Columba livia (rock pigeon), 12212 nucleotides long. RefSeq lists it as uncharacterized. The transcript is spliced from 9 exons. The record is from RefSeq and is a predicted model, not a curated record. NCBI's taxonomy places the organism in Eukaryota, Metazoa, Chordata, Aves, Columbiformes, Columbidae.